This 387-nucleotide ribosomal RNA is filed under the name marine Metazoa environmental sample. RNAcentral describes it as "SSU rRNA". It matches the Rfam family "Eukaryotic small subunit ribosomal RNA", at positions 587 to 972 of the family's 1831-position model. Lineage: Eukaryota; Metazoa. The record is from RNAcentral.
AGCUCCAAUAGCGUAUAUCAAAGUUGUUGCAGUUAAAAAGCUCGUAGUUGGAUCUCGGGAGCAGGCGUGCGGUCCGCCUCGCGGCGGUAUCACUGCGCGCUCCUGCCCUACAUCUGCCGGACGUCCCCCGGUGCCCUUCGCUGGGUGCCGGGGGUGGCCGGGACGUUUACUUUGAAAAAAUUAGAGUGUUCAAAGCAGGCAUUUCGCCCUGAAUAAUGGUGCAUGGAAUAAUGGAAUAGGACCUCGGUUCUAUUUUGUUGGUUUCCGGAGCUCGAGGUAAUGAUUAAGAGGGACGGCCGGGGGCAUUUGUAUUGCGGCGUUAGAGGUGAAAUUCUUGGAUUGCGUUACGACGAACUACUGCGAAAGCAUUUGCCAAGGAUGUUUUCA